CGAUGGCGAAGGCAGGUCUGGGCAUUAACUGACGCGAGGAGCGAAAGCAUGGGGAGCGAACAGGAUUAGAUACUGGUAGUCCAUGCCGUAAACGUUGGGCACUAGGUGUGGGGGACAUUCCACGUUUUCCGCGCCGUAGCUAACGCAUUAAGUGCCCCGCCUGGGGAGUACGGCCGCAAGGCUAAAACUCAAAGGAAUUGACGGGGGCCCGCACAAGCGGCGGAGCAUGCGGAUUAAUUCGAUGCAACGCGAAGAACCUUACCAAGGCUUGACAUGGACUGGAAAUACCUGGAAACAGGUGCCCCGCUUGCGGUCGGUUCACAGGUGGUGCAUGGUUGUCGUCAGCUCGUGUCGUGAGAUGUUGGGUUAAGUCCCGCAACGAGCGCAACCCUCGUUCUAUGUUGCCAGCGCGUUAUGGCGGGGACUCAUAGGAGACUGCCGGGGUCAACUCGGAGGAAGGUGGGGACGACGUCAAAUCAUCAUGCCCCUUAUGUCUUGGGCUUCACGCAUGCUACAAUGGCCGGUACAAAGGGUUGCGAUACUGUGAGGUGGAGCUAAUCCCAAAAAGCCGGUCUCAGUUCGGAUUGGGGUCUGCAACUCGACCCCAUGAAGUCGGAGUCGCUAGUAAUCGCAGAUCAGCAACGCUGCGGUGAAUACGUUCCCGGGCCUUGUACACACCGCCCGUCAAGUCACGAAAGUUGGUAACACCCGAAGCCGGUGGCCUAACC
RNAcentral lists this ribosomal RNA (728 nucleotides) under Arthrobacter sp. EC8(2012). RNAcentral describes it as "bacterial SSU rRNA". It matches the Rfam family "Bacterial small subunit ribosomal RNA", at positions 710 to 1440 of the family's 1533-position model. The record is from RNAcentral. Lineage: Bacteria; Bacillati; Actinomycetota; Actinomycetes; Micrococcales; Micrococcaceae.